GUUGGCUUAGUGGUAUGAGCGUCCGCCUGGGAUGCGGGAGGUCGUAGGUUCGAUCCGAGUCAUACCAAAGACU
This is a non-coding RNA of Potamilus streckersoni, 73 nucleotides long. NCBI's taxonomy places the organism in Eukaryota, Metazoa, Mollusca, Bivalvia, Unionida, Unionidae. The record is from the annotation of a GenBank genome assembly.